GAUGAACGCUGGCGGCGUGCCUAAUACAUGCAAGUCGAACGAACAGACGAGGAGCUUGCUCCUCUGACGUUAGCGGCGGACGGGUGAGUAACACGUGGAUAACCUACCUAUAAGACUGGGAUAACUUCGGGAAACCGGAGCUAAUACCGGAUAACAUGUUGAACCGCAUGGUUCAACAGUGAAAGACGGUCUUGCUGUCACUUAUAGAUGGAUCCGCGCCGCAUUAGCUAGUUGGUAAGGUAACGGCUUACCAAGGCAACGAUGCGUAGCCGACCUGAGAGGGUGAUCGGCCACACUGGAACUGAGACACGGUCCAGACUCCUACGGGAGGCAGCAGUAGGGAAUCUUCCGCAAUGGGCGAAAGCCUGACGGAGCAACGCCGCGUGAGUGAUGAAGGUCUUCGGAUCGUAAAACUCUGUUAUUAGGGAAGAACAAAUGUGUAAGUAACUAUGCACGUCUUGACGGUACCUAAUCAGAAAGCCACGGCUAACUACGUG
This 497-nucleotide ribosomal RNA is filed under the name uncultured bacterium. Its description in RNAcentral is "partial 16S ribosomal RNA". It matches the Rfam family "Bacterial small subunit ribosomal RNA", at positions 28 to 507 of the family's 1533-position model. The record is from RNAcentral.